GAUGAACGCUGGCGGCGUGCCUAAUACAUGCAAGUCGAGCGAACAGACGAGGAGCUUGCUCCUUUGACGUUAGCGGCGGACGGGUGAGUAACACGUGGGUAACCUACCUAUAAGACUGGGAUAACUUCGGGAAACCGGAGCUAAUACCGGAUAAUAUUUCGAACCGCAUGGUUCGAUAGUGAAAGAUGGCUUUGCUAUCACUUAUAGGUGGACCUGUGCCGUAUUAGCUAGUUGGUAAGGUAACGGCUUACCAAGGCAACGAUACGUAGCCGACCUGAGAGGGUGAUCGGCCACACUGGAACUGAGACACGGUCCAGACUCCUACGGGAGGCAGCAGUAGGGAAUCUUCCGCAAUGGGCGAAAGCCUGACGGAGCAACGCCGCGUGAGUGAUGAAGGUCUUCGGAUCGUAAAACUCUGUUAUUAGGGAAGAACAAACGUGUAAGUAACUGUGCACGUCUUGACGGUACCUAAUCAGAAAGCCACGGCUAACUACGUG
Molecule: ribosomal RNA, 497 nt
Filed under: uncultured bacterium
Lineage: Bacteria
Description: partial 16S ribosomal RNA
Rfam family: Bacterial small subunit ribosomal RNA
Source: RNAcentral